Molecule: long non-coding RNA, 428 nt
Organism: Pteropus alecto (black flying fox)
Lineage: Eukaryota; Metazoa; Chordata; Mammalia; Chiroptera; Pteropodidae
Exons: 3
Source: RefSeq, a predicted model, not a curated record
CAAAGCCUUUAACCCCUUCAGAGUUAUCUAGGCAAACUCCACCUCCCCUUUUCCCAAAUAUCAUAUUUUAUCCUGUUACGCCAAAGCCAUAAACAACCCACUGAGACAAAGAAAUCAGUACAGAACACAAAGCUUAAUUCUCUGAAGUCUCCCACAGAACUAAGAAGAAGCACGAACUAACAUCUGAUAGGUCAUCUGGCCACCUAUUUCAACUGGGUUUGGCAUCUUCCCCUGGGUUUAUAGUAACAGCAAAAUAAAACUCCAAAAUGGUGUUUGGCUCAUUAUACAAGGGUCAGUUGGCCAAGUCUUGUCAUUCUAAGGUUAAUGCUGACCUCAAGAUGAAAGAGAAGUGUUCUCUUCAAAUUCCUGAGUUUGUAAAAAAUUGCCAUUAUAUCUUCUUUAAACAAUAAAAAUGAUUAGCAAAGCCA